UACGUAGGUGGCAAGCGUUGUCCGGAAUUAUUGGGCGUAAGGCGCGCGCCGGCGGUCUCUUAAGUCUGAUGUUAAAGCCCCCGGCUCAACCGGGGAGGGCCAUUGGAAACUGGGAGGCGUGAGCAUAGGAGAGAAGGGUGGAAUGCCACGUGUAGCGGUGAAAUGCGUAGAGAUGUGGAGGAACACCAGUGGCGAAGGCGACUCUUUGGCCUAUAACUGACGCUGAGGCGCGAAAGCGUGGGGAGCAAACAGG
This 253-nucleotide unclassified non-coding RNA is filed under the name uncultured Caryophanales bacterium. RNAcentral describes it as "uncultured Bacillales bacterium contains 16S-23S intergenic spacer region". It matches the Rfam family "Bacterial small subunit ribosomal RNA", at positions 524 to 776 of the family's 1533-position model. The record is from RNAcentral. Lineage: Bacteria; Bacillati; Bacillota; Bacilli; Caryophanales.